AGAUCUUAUGUUUGAAGCACAUAUAUAGUGGAAUACAAAUGUGCAGAAAUAAGGUAUUCUUGAACCAUUGGAUCUUUUCUGAAUCUCGCCAUUUUGGUGGUGUAAACCCUGCCGCAGCAUGUUUGAUGUUAUUUCUGUUUUACUUCUGUUUAGAAGGCAACCCAGCUAAGAGAUAGAGUUUCAGAGACAUGAAGAGUGUGAAGUGACCUGCCAUGUAUGUACC
Daphnia pulex (common water flea) is the source of this 223-nucleotide long non-coding RNA. RefSeq lists it as uncharacterized. The transcript has 3 exons. The record is from RefSeq and is a predicted model, not a curated record. NCBI's taxonomy places the organism in Eukaryota, Metazoa, Arthropoda, Branchiopoda, Diplostraca, Daphniidae.